GCCGCAGUGGCGGAAUUGGCAGACGCACCAGACUCAAAAUCUGGCGGUGGUGACAUCGUGCCGGUUCGAGUCCGGCCUGCGGCA
This 84-nucleotide transfer RNA is filed under the name Lachnospiraceae bacterium. RNAcentral describes it as "tRNA-Leu". It matches the Rfam family "tRNA". Rfam says of the family: Transfer RNA (tRNA) molecules are approximately 80 nucleotides in length. Their secondary structure includes four short double-helical elements and three loops (D, anti-codon, and T loops). Further hydrogen bonds mediate the characteristic L-shaped molecular structure. tRNAs have two regions of fundamental functional importance: the anti-codon, which is responsible for specific mRNA codon recognition, and the 3' end, to which the tRNAs corresponding amino acid is attached (by aminoacyl-tRNA synthetases). tRNAs cope with the degeneracy of the genetic code in two manners: having more than one tRNA (with a specific anti-codon) for a particular amino acid; and 'wobble' base-pairing, i.e. permitting non-standard base-pairing at the 3rd anti-codon position. Lineage: Bacteria; Bacillati; Bacillota; Clostridia; Lachnospirales; Lachnospiraceae. The record is from RNAcentral.